GAAUAAAAGAAUUUUAGACUUUAUAAUUCUUCACAUGAAUAAUCUCUAUAAAGUGGUCGAAAGUACAACUUUUUGAUUUUAUUUCAUCUCUAAGAAUAUCACUUUAAAAUAUUGUUUAUUAAAACUAAACACUCUAAAAUCCAUACCCACUCUGUUGUGCUGUCUUCUGCAAAAGAAACUUAAGAAUUUGGGCUUGGAGCCAUUUGGAAUCCCAUCAUCUGCACUUAUUAGCUGUAUAACAUUGGCCAUAUUAUUUAACCAUGAUGAGCUUAACUUUGCUCUUUCUUUAGUGGAAGUGAUUGGUUUUUUUGUUUUUUGAGGAUAAGUUAGAUACUGCAUGUGGUAAGUGCUUAAUGAGUUGCAGUAAUGCUGAGGCUCUAAUAACAUUUUAUUUUUUUAUUUUUAUUUUGCUUUCAUAACAUUUUAAAAUGCCAUUGCUUUUGGUUUUGUAUCUCUUCUUCUCAAGAGGAACCUAUGCUCUGAUUUAUCUGUACUUAUUUAUAGCUGCUAUUAGAGUAAACAAUGUGACCUUCCUCGACAAAAUUGAGCCCCUGUCCCUAAUGGAACUUUUUAACUUUUAAUCCUCAGCACUGAGUGGUAUCCACUCCUUGUAACAUGCUGCAGUAAUUAAUUGAAGGGCAAAAUCAUGAUAAUCUUGACAGAUGCAGAAAAUGUACAUGAUGAAAUUCAACAUUCAUUUAUGAUGAAAAAAUGCUCUUAGCAAACCUGUUUAAAACAGACAUUCAAUGAUCUAAUAAUGGAUGUCUACAACAAGCAAAAUGACAAAAUAUUUAGUGAUGAGAUAAUGAGAUUAUUCCCUUCGAAAUUGGGAACAAGGAAGGAUAUUAUCACUCCUAUUCAACAGUUGCUCAAGUUCAUAGUAAUGCAGCAGGCAACACAAAAGACAUGAAAUUGUAUAAAGUUUUGAAACGAAAAUAUAAAAGUAAUUUUUUUUUUUUUUUAGGGCCGCACCUGCAGCAUACGGAAGUUCCCAGGCUAGGGGUUGAGUCAGAGCUGCAGCUGCUGGCUUGCACCACAGCCACAACAAUGUGGGAUCUGAGCCACAUUUGCAACCUAUACCACAGUUCACAGAAACACUGGAUCCUUAACCCACUGAGCAAAACCAGGGAUCAAACCUGCAUCCUCAUGGAUACUAGUCAAGUUCACUGGGACACAAAGGGACCUCCUGAAAAAUUUUAAAAUCAAUUUCUAAGACAACUUACAGAAUGGGAGAAAAUAGUUGAAAAUGAUACAACUGACAAGGGCUUAAUCUCUAAAAUAUUCAAACAACUUAUAGAACUCAACAGCAAAGAUACCAACAACCCAACUGAAGAAUGGGCAGAAGACCUGAACAGACAUUUCUCCAAAGAAGAUAUACAGGUGGCUAACAAGCACAUGCAAAAAUGCUCAACAUCACUGAUUAUUAGGGAAAUGCACAUCAAAAUUACUAUGAGGUGUACCACCUCAUGCCAGUCAGAAUGGCCAUCAUUAAUAAGUCCACAAAUAACAAAUGUUGGAGAGAGUGUGGAGAAAAGGGAAUCCUUCUGCACUGUUGGUGGGAAUGUAAAUUGGUACAACCAGUAUGGAGAACAGUAUGGAGGUACUUUAGAAAACUAUACAUAGAGCUACCAUAUGACCCAGAUAUCCCACUCUUUGGCAUAUAUCUAGACAGAACUUUCCUUGAAAAAUACACAUGCACCUGUAUGUUUAUUGCAACACUAUUCACAAUAGCCAACACAUAGAAACAACCCAAAUGUCCAUCGACAGAUGACUGGACUAGGAAGAUGUGGUAUAUAUCACAAUGGAAUACUCCUCAGCCAUAAAAAGAACAAAAAUGCCAUAUGCAGCAACAUGGUUGGAACUAGAGACUUUCAUCCUGAGUGAAGUAAGUCAGAAAGAGAAAGACAGAUACCAUAUGAUAUCACUUAUAUCUGGAAUCUAAUAUAAGGCACAAAUGAAUCUUUCCACAGAAAAGAAAAUCAUGGACUUGGAGAAUAGACUUGUGGUUGCCUAGGGGGAAGGGGAGGGAGUGGGAUGGAUUGGGAAUUUGGGGUUAAUAAUAGAUGCAAACUAUUGCCUUUGGAUGAAUAAGCAAUGAUAUCCUGCUGUAUAGCACUGGGAACUAUGUCUAGUCACUUAUGGCGGAGCAUGAUAAUGUGAGAAAAAGGAAUGUUUAUGUGUAUGUGUGACUGGGUCACCUUGCUGCAUAGUAGAAAACUGACAGAACACUGUAAACCAGCUAUAAUGGAAAAAAAUCAUUAAAUAAAAGAAAUAAAGGAAGGGAAAAUAAAAAUAAUAAAAUCAAUUUCUAUACAUCAGAAAGUGUCAGGAAAUUAAAUUUAGCAUAUGCUUUUAUAAUUACAUCAUAAUAUUAAAUAUCUAGUAAUCUGCUAGACUUAUAUACAAAAAUUGCAAUCGCUAAGAGAUAUUAAAUAAAAUCUAAAUCUAAAUUAUGUUAUAAAAUAUAAAUGGAUUGGAAAACUCAAUCUUAUAUCAAUUGUCCAUGAAAUGCUGCAAUCUAAACUCAACAAUUUUUAAAAAUUUGGUGAGCUGAUUGUAAAGUUUACAAGGAAAUGUGAAGGACUUAAGAGAGCCAUGAUUUUUUUGAAGAAUAAAUAUGAGAUGAGAGGACUUAUUCUCAGAUGCCAAAAUAUUAUAAAGCUACAAUAAUUAAGGCAGUGUAGUAUGGGUCAUGAAUAGACAAAUAGACCAAUGUAGAUUUGAAAUAAACCGAAGAAAUCAGGAAUCAUCUGCCACAUAUGGGAACAGUUGCCUCUGUGAAACAAAGCUCUGAGAUCUGGCUGGACUCCACUUUGCAUGGGCAGAUGCUUGAUUAUAGGCUCUGGGGGCCAAGGGAAGCUAUAUUAUGAUAUGCUGCACUUAAUUCUGCCUGGUAUGGCCACCUUGCUCCCAUUAAGCUUUAAAGCCUUUGUCAAGAAGCUUAAUUCUGUAGCUCAUCUGACUGUUUCAAAUAUUUUUGGUAUGAGGACAAGCCUGACUAGAAUUGAGACAAAUGCCAAGAUUCUUAAAGAGAGAAAGGGGACCAGAGUAUUCUGUCAAUCUUUUUUUCUUUUACUUUUUAGGGCCAAACCUGCAGCAUAUGGAAGUUUCCAGGCUAGGGGUUGAAUCAGAGCUACAGCUGCCAGCCUAUGCCACAGCCACAGCAACACAGGAUCUGAGCCACGUCUGCGACCUACACCUCAGCUCAAGGCAACACCAGAUCCCUGACCCACUGAGCAAGACCAGGGAUCAAACCUGCAUCCUCAUGGAUACUAGUCAGGUUUGUUACCCCUGAGCCACAGCAGGAACUCCUUUUGGGGGCAGUUUUUAUGGGCAAGUCAUAUCAGUUAAAUUGUCUUCUAAACCCGUAUUUUCCAAUGGUAGAGCUUUGGGGAUAAAGAGGAACGAUGUGAUAACAAACAGUAGAUAGAUCCCCAGUAGCUCCCAAUCCUGGUAGCCAAGUGCUAGGAGUAUAAACCAGCCAAGUUGUAAGGAUGUAAUUAAGGAAGUUGAGAGUGCAAAGGCAGGCAGGGUAUGACAAGUGAAAGUCUCACCUCUGGGAACCUGUCAAGAUAACACUGAGGAAAGAAGAAAGGUCUGAGCUUCUCUCAGGUGCCUGCCAGACUGACAGUGGUGACUUUUCAAUUAGAAAUUAAAUAAAUGCCACAAGUGUGGAUUCAGGAAGAUGAGAGAAUGGAGCUUCCCUGACCCAACUCUCUGUGUGGGAGGGGCUAAAAAUACAGGGGCUGAGUAUAAGCCAAGCACAUUUUUUUGUGUCUAUACUACUGUUUUAUUUCAGAAAAACUCUGUCUUUAUAUGCAGGUUAAUCUUUUUUAUUCUUACAGAUAGCUCUUUCGCCUUGUGAAAGGAGCUAGACCAGACUGUCACUGAAUUACUGUAUGCAGUAUUCUGAGAUGUUUGAGAUUUUUUCUUAAAAAUUUUGUUGAGGUGAUAAGGUCUCAAAUAAUUUUCUACUUGGAAAAGAUACUUUUAAAGUAGGGCAUUAAGGAUGCCUAACAAAGACAUAGAUAAUUUAUUAGUAAAUUAUAAAAAUAUAUUGUACAUGUUUUCUUAAGGAAAAUAUUACCUUGUUGGAUGAGAACUGAGAAAAAGCAGUAGAGAGAAAUAUUCUGGAGAAAAGCAAUGGACCUAAAAAGUUUUCCACUAAACAGAAAGUACAGAGGCCAGUGUCAGGUAUAGCUGGAUCCAGAUGCUCUCACAAUAUGACCAGAAAACUAACUGUAUUCAUUUCUGAGCUUCUUGCAUUUUUAUUUUCAUUCUCUAAAAAACUCUUCCCACCUGGUGGUAAAGAUGGACAGAAAAAACUCAAGUCUUUAUUCUAUCAUAUUCACAACUCUAGCAAAAUAAAUACAUCCCUUUUAUGAUUAUAUUAUUAAAAGUCUUUGAAUUGGCUCUGGUUUUCCAGGCCUGCGUGAUUGGGGCUGGGGUCAGUCUAAUCUGAAUCACGUAGACAAAAUUGUGCAAGAGUGCUGUGCUGAUGAACAUUUUUUUCCACUGCAAAAUAAUCACUAAGUGGAAGUGUGAUAAGUAUCUAUUGCUUAGAAAAUAUUUGUCAUGCUUCUAAUGUCCCCAGUCUUGCCAAUAUGCCUGCCUGGCUCUUAGAAGACAGUUGGGUUGUCUUCACUAGUGAAGUCUCCCUCCUUUUCAGGUAUACACACUUCCAGAUGGGUAAAGCCCAUGGAACCUGUGGUGUGCCAUAUUUUUUUUCCAUGAAAAUUUUAGUGAUUUAAAACCAGUGGUGUUUUUCAGGUCAUUGUGUUUCCAUUUAAUAAAGUACUUAAUAUGAGAAUUUUAAAGUUGGAAUCAGUACUCCAUAUUUUGGGCCACGUCUAUCCCUCAGCAUUUUUUUAAUGACAUACCUUAAUUUCAAAAGUAAACUCUUCCCCAGUCAUUCAACAUCCAUUUAUUAUGGGCCUGCUAGUUAUGAUCUACUUAGGUACAAGGUUUGUUAAUUAACAUGUAAAUCAGGGUCUCUGUCCACGAUAUCCAGCAUAAUGAAUCUCAUUUACCCCUGUUCAGAUCUGUCUCUUUUCUUUCUACUCUGAGCUUAGAUUUGCCCCCAUGUAAGAAGUUUAAAUUUUUCAACAAAAAUUAAGUAUUUCUUUUUAACUAAAGCUGUUUUGAAGGCACACUCUAGUGAGAGUAGUCUGAUACAAAUGACACCAUUCAUAGUGAACAACUAACAGGUCAGCUGCAGAUUGAGUCAUGUUUUAACAAGUAGAGCAUGUGUGUGAACUCUGACCCCCAGGCAAGGUUUCUGCAACUUAACAAUUAAAAUAGUGAAUGUAAUAAUCUCCUGAAAACUAUUGUACAUGUCAGAAACUCUAACCAAAGUAGUAUUGCCAGGCAUUGUUCUUGAAAAAACUUACAAUAAGAGAAAAACUUUUUUUUUUCCUGUUAUGCCUCUUUUUUUUCAGGAAGAAGCAAAAGGAAUCUUAAUGAAUUGGAGACAAUUGGAGGUGGUUUAUAAGGAUGAAGUUCAAAGGUUUUUCUUUAGAAGCCAUUGAGUUGGUAGUCUAGGAGAGCACCUUGUAGUGGUAUUUGCAUAAGGAGAAAGAUGUCAAAUAUUCAAAGAUGCCUUUACUCAAAGAGCCAGUGGCACUUAAGUGGCCAAAUAGCUUACAAGCACUUAUUAAGGUAAGCAAAGCCUCACUCAUUGCUUGUUGUCAGACAUCUGAUUCUAAUUAUGGGAGAGCUAGAUAAACGAUGAUGCUUGGGGUAGAUAGAAGCUGGUAUGCCUUUUCUAAGCUCAUUAGUGCUUACAGCUUGCCAGUUUACACAUACACACACAAGGGGUCUGAAAUAAAGACUAGUUUCUGUGUUGUUUGUGUCUGUAUUCUAGUGAUAAUCUUCUGCAGGGAUAAAUACAGCUUCAGAUGUAACCCUAGAUUAAAAAAGCAAAAAAUAAAAAAAAACCUAGCUUUCAGUUCACAUUUUCUCAAAUCACCCUCCAGCCCUAACCCCUGGAGUAUCACUGGAGCUGUAUUACUGUUAUUUCUCCCUAAAUCACACAAUCCCAUUUCUCUACCGUUUUUUGCUUUCCCUAACUGCACUCUAACCCCUGCCACAACAAGAUCAAAAACAACAUCAAGGAAAACCCCACAAAGGUUUUGUUUAAAUUCCCUUCUACCUCACUUUCCAUCAAAUAAAUUCCUUAGAAGUCAUAUCAUGAUUAAUAUUGUUAGUUUUCAGUAGAAUCAUUCCACUAAUUUCACAAAAAUAUGAAUCAUAAAGAUAGAAGAUUGAACAUUAUUUAUAUAUUCUUAUUUCUUCUACUUUUUAUGUUAGAAUCCUAAAAAACAAAAAUUGAUUUUUACUAAUGUGUCAUUGCUACAUAUGAAGCAUAUAUGAGAAAAUUUACUUAAAUUUAACUCAGUUUACAGUAGCCUCACCCAGCUUGCUAUUACUAUUAUCUUUCAAUAAUUUUUCUCCCCAGCUGCUAUCAGCUGCUACUUAAACCUAUGUGCUUAAUAAAUAGAGUUGGGGUGAUUUUCAUUUCUAUUUUCUUCUUUUCCAUAUUUUCAAAAAUUUUCAAGAGAUUUUGUGAUACUGAUCACCUCCUUGAACUGGGGAAAUAACCAGGAAAUACAUUCCACGUCUCAUUGCCUCUGAAUAACCACAUGCACAAGCAACCAUCGCUUAAGGAAGACUCAGAAUCCUAGGGACAACAGAUCAUGUGUGGUUACAGGCACCAUUUUAAAGAUCAGGCUAGCUCUGAGUUGCCAUGGCAAACUAUUUGAAAUAGUCUGCUCUACAGAUUCUGCCUGCUGUAUGGGGUUGUUUAUAUAGUCCAGUGUAAAUGAUAUCACUGGGAAACAACUAAGCUCCUAUUACAAUGACUAAAAUCAACAAGCAAUGACUUGCCAACAUAAUACUUGUUUAUUCUCAUCUUGGUAUGUGUUUCGUGGAAUACUCCUUACAAUUACCAUACACUUAAAAGGGGAAAUUUUACUGAAUGUAAAUUUU
Molecule: long non-coding RNA, 6987 nt
Filed under: Sus scrofa (pig)
Lineage: Eukaryota; Metazoa; Chordata; Mammalia; Artiodactyla; Suidae
Description: lncRNA (ENSSSCG00060072179.1)
Source: RNAcentral